UUUUCACAAUUUCUAAAUCCUUUUUAAUAAAGAUAUAAACAAACAUCAACCCGCUACGCACGGAAUUAAAACUAGUUUUGAUAAACUAAAAUGAAAUCCCCAGCGUCGAUGUAUGCUUCUAUAAUAGGUUAAGAAAAGGAAUGGAAGGUGGAGAAAAAGGAAAAAUGGUUUAUUACCCAACCAUUAACCAACCAAGCUUUUCUUAUACUAAUUUGUAUGUCUGUGAGGAGAAACAUCUGGAAGCUCUUAUAGAUAGAAAAGCUUGUGCAGAAGGGGUGGGGGCAAGUGGUGGCAGUGGAGGAGAUAUGAUAUGUAAAGCAUUCACUUGAUGCUCUUUUCUUGGUUUGUUACGUGAACUGUCGGCUUUUAAGCCCUGUACUCUUGAUUUUAGCAAGUGAAAUAAGAUAUAAUAUUAGUUUCAUGUUUACAUCUUUCUUACCUUUUUGUCGUAUUAUUUUCUAAUACCCUUCACCUAUAGAUGAGGUUUUCUUUGAUUAUUAUUCUGACAGGUUAUCACUGCUAAUUAUGCCAUCAAAAGUGGAAAAGGAGAGCGAUUACUUCAUCCGUUCCUAAAUUCAAUCAGUCACAAUAACAGUCACUAUACCUGGAGCUAACAGAAAGAAUAAACUCAUUUAAACACAGUGGAAGGUGACACUCUCCAGAAGAUAAAAUUCACAAUUCAUAUGCAUAAAUCAGCAAAUCUCUCAAGCAAAUUAAGCACACCUUUACAGACCUUCUUGGGGGAAAGAAGAUUGGACCUGCUAGAGAGCAGAGUAGGUGCUACUUCUUUUAGCGUAUGAAGAUUGAUGGUGUACUUGGAAAAUGGUGUUGUCUUCUAGUCAACAAGCAAACUCUGAAGCUUCACCAUGCUAAGUCCUUAUUUCUUCAUUCAAAAACACCAUAAUGCAACAUUUCCUCCUGGUCGCAAUAAAAGUCAUGCACUUUUGAACUUGUGCAUUCUUAUGUGUGGUGACCUAUUAAUGACUCUACACACGGGGCUAUGUGGUUUGUGAGAUCAAUUGAUGACUGUACUUGUGUGACGUGAUUGUCUUUUGAAGAAUAAAUAUAAGGUUUGUUGAAUAUUUGUCUAUUUCCUCCCUCUUUUUAAAAUCAAUAUGGAAAGUUUAUUAAGAGUGUUCGAUCUAAUGA
RNAcentral lists this small RNA (1149 nucleotides) under Vigna angularis var. angularis. RNAcentral's name for it is "Non-protein coding transcript". The record is from RNAcentral. Lineage: Eukaryota; Viridiplantae; Streptophyta; Magnoliopsida; Fabales; Fabaceae.